UUUCCGUAGGUGAACCUGCGGAAGGAUCAUUAACGAGUAUGGGUCCUCACGGGCCCGAACUCCCACCCCAUGUUGUCGCGAACUUACGUUGCCUCGGCGGGCCCGCCUCGCGGCCCCCCGGCCCCCGGGUCGGGGCAGCGCCCGCCGACGGUCUACACUCACAACUCUUUGUUUGACAGUGAAGUCCGAGCAAAAAUUCUUAAUGAAUCAAAACUUUCAACAACGGAUCUCUUGGUUCUGGCAUCGAUGAAGAACGCAGC
Molecule: unclassified non-coding RNA, 260 nt
Filed under: uncultured fungus
Lineage: Eukaryota; Fungi
Description: sequence contains ITS1, 5.8S rRNA gene
Rfam family: 5.8S ribosomal RNA (bases 212-260)
Source: RNAcentral